Molecule: ribosomal RNA, 808 nt
Filed under: uncultured Denitratisoma sp.
Lineage: Bacteria; Pseudomonadati; Pseudomonadota; Betaproteobacteria; Nitrosomonadales; Sterolibacteriaceae
Description: bacterial SSU rRNA
Rfam family: Bacterial small subunit ribosomal RNA
Source: RNAcentral
UAGCAGUGAAAUGCGUAGAGAUGUGGAGGAACACCGAUGGCGAAGGCAGCCCCCUGGGUCGACACUGACGCUCAUGCACGAAAGCGUGGGUAGCAAACAGGAUUAGAUACCCUGGUAGUCCACGCCCUAAACGAUGCCAACUAGGUGUUGGGGAAGGAGACUUCCUUAGUACCGUAGCUAACGCGUGAAGUUGGCCGCCUGGGGAGUACGGUCGCAAGAUUAAAACUCAAAGGAAUUGACGGGGACCCGCACAAGCGGUGGAUGAUGUGGAUUAAUUCGAUGCAACGCGAAAAACCUUACCUACCCUUGACAUGCCAGGAAUCCUGCUGAGAGGUGGGAGUGCCCGAAAGGGAGCCUGGACACAGGUGCUGCAUGGCUGUCGUCAGCUCGUGUCGUGAGAUGUUGGGUUAAGUCCCGCAACGAGCGCAACCCUUGUCAUUAGUUGCCAUCAUUUAGUUGGGCACUCUAAUGAGACUGCCGGUGACAAACCGGAGGAAGGUGGGGAUGACGUCAAGUCCUCAUGGCCCUUAUGGGUAGGGCUUCACACGUCAUACAAUGGUCGGUACAGAGGGUUGCCAAGCCGCGAGGUGGAGCCAAUCCCAGAAAGCCGAUCGUAGUCCGGAUUGCAGUCUGCAACUCGACUGCAUGAAGUCGGAAUCGCUAGUAAUCGUGGAUCAGCAUGUCACGGUGAAUACGUUCCCGGGUCUUGUACACACCGCCCGUCACACCAUGGGAGUGGGUUUCACCAGAAGUAGGUAGCCUAACCGCAAGGAGGGCGCUUACCACGGUGGGAUUCAUGACUGGGGUG